ACGGAGGGUGCAAGCGUUGAUCGGAAUUACUGGGCGUAAAGGGCGCGUAGGUGGUUGUGUAAGUCAGAUGUGAAAUCCUUAGGCUUAACCUGAGAACUGCAUCUGAUACUGCAUGACUCGAGUGCCGCAGAGGGAAACGGAAUUCCUGGUGUAGGGGUGAAAUUCGUAGAUAUCUGGAGGAACACCAGUGGCGAAGGCGGUCUCCUGGGCGGAUACUGACACUGAGGUGCUAAAGCGUGGGGAGCAAAAAG
This 251-nucleotide ribosomal RNA is filed under the name uncultured prokaryote. RNAcentral describes it as "partial 16S rRNA". It matches the Rfam family "Bacterial small subunit ribosomal RNA", at positions 525 to 775 of the family's 1533-position model. The record is from RNAcentral.